RNAcentral lists this ribosomal RNA (497 nucleotides) under uncultured bacterium. RNAcentral's name for it is "partial 16S ribosomal RNA". It matches the Rfam family "Bacterial small subunit ribosomal RNA", at positions 28 to 507 of the family's 1533-position model. The record is from RNAcentral.
GACGAACGCUGGCGGCGUGCCUAAUACAUGCAAGUAGAACGCUGAGGAGAGGAGCUUGCUCUUCUUGGGUGAGGUGAGAACGGGUGAGUAACGCGUAGGUAACCUGCCUUGUAGUGGGGGAUAACUAGUGGAAACGAGAGCUAAUACCGCAUAACAAUGGAUGACACAUGUGAUUUAUUUGAAAGGGGCAAUUGCUGCACUACAUGAUGGAUCUGCGUUGUAUUAGUUAGUAGGUGAGGUAAUGGCGCACCUAGGCGACGUUACAUAGCCGCACUGAGAGGGUGGUUGGCCACCCUGGGACGGUGACCGGGCCCAGAGUCCCUCAGGUAGCAGCAGUAGGGCAUCGUCGGCAAUGGGGGGAAACCUUACCGAACAACGCCGCGGCAGUGAAGAAGGUUGUCGGGUGCUAAAGCUCUGUUGUCAGUCAAUAACGGGUUUGAGAGUGUAACGAUCCCACUGUGACGGUAGCUUAUCAGAAAGCGACGGCUAACUACGUG